RNAcentral lists this ribosomal RNA (468 nucleotides) under uncultured bacterium. RNAcentral's name for it is "partial 16S ribosomal RNA". It matches the Rfam family "Bacterial small subunit ribosomal RNA", at positions 28 to 507 of the family's 1533-position model. The record is from RNAcentral.
GACGAACGCUGGCGGCGUGCUUAACACAUGCAAGUCGAACGGAAAGGCCCUGCUUUUGUGGGGUGCUCGAGUGGCGAACGGGUGAGUAACACGUGAGUAACCUGCCCUUGACUUUGGGAUAACUUCAGGAAACUGGGGCUAAUACCGGAUAGGAGCUCCUGCUGCAUGGUGGGGGUUGGAAAGUUUCGGCGGUUGGGGAUGGACUCGCGGCUUAUCGGCUUGUUGGUGGGGUAGUGGCUUACCAAGGCUUUGACGGGUAGCCGGCCUGGGAGGGUGACCGGCCACCUUGGGACUGAGAUACGGCCCAGACUCCUACGGGAGGCAGCAGUGGGGAAUAUUGCACAAUGGGCGGAAGCCUGAUGCAGCAACGCCGCGUGCGGGAUGACGGCCUUCGGGUUGUAAACCGCUUUCGCCUGUGACGAAGCGUGAGUGACGGUAAUGGGUAAAGAAGCACCGGCUAACUACGUG